ACUUGAAUUGAAGAGUUUGAUCAUGGCUCAGAUUGAACGCUGGCGGCAGGCUUAACACAUGCAAGUCGAACGGUAGCAGGAGAAAGCUUGCUUUCUUGCUGACGAGUGGCGGACGGGUGAGUAAUGCUUGGGAAUCUGGCUUAUGGAGGGGGAUAACUACGGGAAACUGUAGCUAAUACCGCGUAGAAUCGGAAGAUGAAAGUGCGGGACU
Molecule: ribosomal RNA, 211 nt
Filed under: Haemophilus haemolyticus
Lineage: Bacteria; Pseudomonadati; Pseudomonadota; Gammaproteobacteria; Pasteurellales; Pasteurellaceae
Description: partial 16S ribosomal RNA
Rfam family: Bacterial small subunit ribosomal RNA
Source: RNAcentral